GCGGCGGAUGACUAGCUACUGAAUCAUAGAAUUUCUUUAAAUUCAUGAUGUCGUAAGGGAAAAUAAUGAUAUUACCUUACUAUGAGUGUCGUCCAAAGCUGGUGCCAGAAGACUCGGUAAGACCAGAGACGCAAACGUUAAUCAUCUUAAACAGGCGUAAAGGGUUUGUAGGCAGCUUUCAUAAUAUUAUUUCUUACAAAAAUAAAGAAGUGGUCUGAUUGAAAGCUAGAAUCAAAAAGAGGUUAUAGUGUAUAACGCCUAGAGGAGGGCUGAUAUCCUUAGAUCCUAGGCAGAAUACUUAGGGCGAAGGCCACUCUCCACUAAUGAUUGACGCUGAGAAACGAAGGUAAGGGUAGGAAAUAGGAUUAGAUACCCCGGUACUCCUUUCUGUAAACGAUGAAUGGUAGUCAUUAGUAAAAUUAAAAAUUACUAGAGACGAAGUUAACACAAUAACCAUUCCGCCUUGUGAGUACUACUGCAAAGUAGAAAACAAAAAAAUUAGUCGGUCUCGAAGCAAACGGAGUGAAGCAUGUUAUUUAUA
This 541-nucleotide ribosomal RNA is filed under the name Sanguinoderma sp. RNAcentral describes it as "partial large subunit ribosomal RNA". It matches the Rfam family "Bacterial small subunit ribosomal RNA", at positions 396 to 950 of the family's 1533-position model. The record is from RNAcentral. Lineage: Eukaryota; Fungi; Basidiomycota; Agaricomycetes; Polyporales; Polyporaceae.